RNAcentral lists this ribosomal RNA (468 nucleotides) under uncultured bacterium. Its description in RNAcentral is "partial 16S ribosomal RNA". It matches the Rfam family "Bacterial small subunit ribosomal RNA", at positions 28 to 507 of the family's 1533-position model. The record is from RNAcentral.
GACGAACGCUGGCGGCGUGCUUAACACAUGCAAGUCGAACGGAAAGGCCCUGCUUUUGUGGGGUGCUCGAGUGGCGAACGGGUGAGUAACACGUGAGUAACCUGCCCUUGACUUUGGGAUAACUUCAGGAAACUGGGGCUAAUACCGGAUAGGAGCUCCUGCUGCAUGGUGGGGGUUGGAAAGUUUCGGCGGUUGGGGAUGGACUCGCGGCUUAUCAGCUUGUUGGGGGGGUAGUGGCUUACCAAGGCUUUGACGGGUAGCCGGCCUGAGAGGGUGACCGGCCACCUUGGGACUGAGAGACGGCCCAGACUCCUACGGGAGGCAGCAGUGGGGAAUAUUGCACAAUGGGCGGAAGCCUGAUGCAGCAACGCCGCGUGCGGGAUGACGGCCUUCGGGUUGUAAACCGCUUUCGCCUGUGACGAAGCGUGAGUGACGGUAAUGGGUAAAGAAGCACCGGCUAACUACGUG